This is a long non-coding RNA of Saccostrea echinata, 345 nucleotides long. RefSeq lists it as uncharacterized. The record is from RefSeq and is a predicted model, not a curated record. The transcript has 3 exons. Lineage: Eukaryota; Metazoa; Mollusca; Bivalvia; Ostreida; Ostreidae.
CAAAUCAAGUUGAGCGGGUCUCAUCGAAUUUUCUGGUAUUUUUGACGAAAAUAUGCAACCAGGGAUCAGUUGAUUUAAUACCUUUUCAUCGACCGGUAGAUUUAAGGAGGUUAUUGCUUGGAAAACUGCUCGAGCUCCCGGGCUGGCAAUUGGCAUGCACUGCAGUGCAGAAACAGGUACAGUGAAAUCAAUUAUGCAGGUUCUUGAAGGAAAAAAAUCAUGGAUGACAACAAUGUAUGAUUUACCAGACCAAGGGAUACCAAUGUUUUUUGAUGGUACUUGCUCCAUCUACUCAGCUUACUGUGAGAGAGUUAACACCUUAUUGACAGAUCUUUCAAGAAGAAG